RNAcentral lists this transfer RNA (77 nucleotides) under Candidatus Margulisbacteria bacterium GWF2_35_9. Its description in RNAcentral is "tRNA-Met". It matches the Rfam family "tRNA". From Rfam's summary of the family: Transfer RNA (tRNA) molecules are approximately 80 nucleotides in length. Their secondary structure includes four short double-helical elements and three loops (D, anti-codon, and T loops). Lineage: Bacteria; Bacillati; Candidatus Margulisiibacteriota. The record is from RNAcentral.
GGCGAUGUAGCUCAGCUGGUUAGAGCACACGGCUCAUACCCGUGUUGUCGUUGGUUCGAUCCCAACCAUCGCUACCA